CUACGGAGGGUGCAAGCGUUACUCGGAAUCACUGGGCGUAAAGCGCGCGCAGGCGGUCUUUUAAGUUGGAUGUGAAAGCCUACGGCUCAACCGUAGAACUGCAUCCAAAACUAUUAGACUAGAGUGUGGGAGAGGAAGAUGGAAUUAGUUGUGUAGGGGUAAAAUCCGUAGAGAUAACUAGGAAUACCAAAAGCGAAGGCAAUCUUCUGGAACACUACUGACGCUGAGGCGCGAAAGCGUGGGGAGCAAACGGGAUUAGAAACCCUAGUAGUCC
Molecule: ribosomal RNA, 274 nt
Filed under: uncultured bacterium
Lineage: Bacteria
Description: partial 16S ribosomal RNA
Rfam family: Bacterial small subunit ribosomal RNA
Source: RNAcentral